AUGUUUUGAGUCAAAUGUCACUAUGUUUGUAGUUUAAUUUCUGCAUAUUACGUAAAUUUUAACCUUAAAUCUACAUAUAAAUUUUUGCAGCCAUUUUGUGAAAUAAAUCAUAUAGUUGAGACUUAUUUACAAUGGCUGCCACUGAAUUUUAAUGUUUGUUUUUGAUAAUUAGAAAGAGAGUCGGCUAUGGCCUAUGGGCCAAACUGGCCAAGCAUGGGAUUGUAGUGGUUAUGGCUCAUAGUGGGAAGGUGUUUGAGUA
Molecule: small RNA, 259 nt
Filed under: Arabidopsis thaliana (thale cress)
Lineage: Eukaryota; Viridiplantae; Streptophyta; Magnoliopsida; Brassicales; Brassicaceae
Description: ATSL143240
Source: RNAcentral